Molecule: long non-coding RNA, 320 nt
Organism: Larimichthys crocea (large yellow croaker)
Lineage: Eukaryota; Metazoa; Chordata; Actinopteri; Sciaenidae
Exons: 3
Source: RefSeq, a predicted model, not a curated record
GUGUGUGUGUGUGUGUGUGUGUGUGUGUGUGUGUGUGUGUGUGUGAUAGGAAUCUAUAUUUAGCGUCAUCUUUGUGUUCGGUGGGCAGCAGCGAGGAGCUGAAACAGAUCACAUGACGAGCACCUGAACUUUUCACCUGCCUCCUCCAGCACCACGUUGCCGCGGCAACCGACAAGCGCGGCAUCACCUGCCGACAGGAGAUCCCGGCCGAGCUGAUCCGAGACCUGUGGAACCGGACCAGACAGCUGAUCGACAGGCUGCCGAGAGAAGAAAACUACUUCCGGAGACUGCUGCCAAAGUUUUGCACUAAAUGUCCUGAG